Long non-coding RNA from Gadus macrocephalus (Pacific cod), 493 nucleotides. RefSeq lists it as uncharacterized. Lineage: Eukaryota; Metazoa; Chordata; Actinopteri; Gadiformes; Gadidae. The record is from RefSeq and is a predicted model, not a curated record. The transcript has 2 exons.
GCGUAUACAGGUGGGCUCCAGUCACUCCACUGCCCAUCGUACUCAUCCUUGGCCCGGAGCUGUAUCACAUACUCCACCAUAGGCAGCACAUCUCUGAUGGUGUACUGCUGGUGUUUGAUGGUGUCUCUCUGUGCCUGUGAGUCCAGGGAGGAGGCGGGCCGGUAUUGGAUCUCGUAGACCAGCUCGUAGUACUGGUCAUGACGCUUCCAGGAGCAGGGGAAGCGCCAGCUCACGCUGAGCAGCCUCUCAUGGCCCUCCACCGCCCGCACCGCCACCGCAGACGGGGGCUCGGGUUUGACUUGGAACAGACAUGAUCAUCACUGCAAGGUAGGAGGGAAGACAUGCCCCCCCACACACACACACACACACACACACACACACACACACACACACACACACACACACACACACACACACACACACACACACACACACACACACACACACACACACACAGACAAACUCACACACACACACACACACAAACAGACAA